AGGACGAACGCUGGCGGCGCGCUUUAUGCAUGCAAGUCGAACGGACCUUCGGGCCAGUGGCGGACGGCUGAGUAACGCGUAGGCAAUCUGCCCAGUGGUGGGGGAUAACUCGCCGAAAGGUGAGCUAAUACCGCAUAAGUUCAGUGGUUGAAAUACCACUGAGGAAAGCAGCAAUGCACCACUGGAGGAGCCUGCGUCCUAUCAGGUAGUUGGUGGGGUAACGCCUACCAAGCCGAUGACGGGUAGCUGGUCUGAGAGGACGACCAGCCAGAAGGGGACUGAGACACGGCCCCCACUCCACGGGAGGCAGCAGCAAGGAUCUGGGCAAGUGGACGAAAGUCAGACCCAGCGACGCCGCGUGAGGAUGAACGGCCUUCGGGUCGUAACCUCGUUUGGCGGGGAAG
This 404-nucleotide ribosomal RNA is filed under the name uncultured soil bacterium. RNAcentral's name for it is "bacterial SSU rRNA". It matches the Rfam family "Bacterial small subunit ribosomal RNA", at positions 26 to 447 of the family's 1533-position model. The record is from RNAcentral.